Long non-coding RNA from Manacus vitellinus (golden-collared manakin), 437 nucleotides. RefSeq lists it as uncharacterized. The record is from RefSeq and is a predicted model, not a curated record. The transcript is spliced from 3 exons. NCBI's taxonomy places the organism in Eukaryota, Metazoa, Chordata, Aves, Passeriformes, Pipridae.
UUCUGGCCUGAAGCUGUCAAGAUCUGCAUGCUGGCAAAGCUCACCACGGAAAAAUGCUGGGAUGAAGGUCAUUUGCCGUUGGCAGCACCUGGAAGCCAUGAAGGAAAUCCAAAAGAAACUGACUUCUAACCCUGGACUUCACCUUCAUGAGAAGAACUGGGGAAGAGACAUAGUGAAUCACAGGGCUCCUGCUAUUUAUUAUCCAGAGGCAAAUGGAAAAUGGAAUCAUUUUCACAGCAUUUUGAAAGGCUGUUUACAAACUGUUGGCCUGGAAGGGAAAUUCUGGAAAUCAUUCACUGUAGAUGUCUUAUGUAACCACCUGUCUGACAUUCAACAAGCCUAUCCUGCAGGGAUAGGAGCAAGGUGCUAAUGUUCUCCAAAGUCCCACACAAACCAGAGUUAAUGGCUGGGUGGAUAGCUCCCAGUGAAUAACUUAG